RNAcentral lists this unclassified non-coding RNA (273 nucleotides) under Hevea brasiliensis (rubber tree). The record is from RNAcentral. Lineage: Eukaryota; Viridiplantae; Streptophyta; Magnoliopsida; Malpighiales; Euphorbiaceae.
ACUGUACUUGAUUUCUCCCCUUUCUUCCUUGAGAUACACGUUCACCAACACUGUCUCCAACACUAUCUUUGACCAACCGGGAAUUUCAUCAUACUUUAGUUGUUGACCAAACAGGGAGGGGAUUUUUUUUCUUCAUAGUGCAAAUAGCUACGCUACUGCACAGCCACCAUCUUCUCCUCGUGAAUUAGGAAAUUGGUAAUAGUUUACCUUCGUGUCGUUGCAUGCCAGUGGAUUGGAAAGGGAUUGGCUUUGAAUUAAACAAAAAAAAAAAAA